Molecule: long non-coding RNA, 211 nt
Organism: Globicephala melas (long-finned pilot whale)
Lineage: Eukaryota; Metazoa; Chordata; Mammalia; Artiodactyla; Delphinidae
Source: RefSeq, a predicted model, not a curated record
UGAUGGUGACUGUGGGAACAAAAUGGACAUGCCAUUCAGAAGAAUUUUGUGAUCUGAUGGAUUCUGAGGGGAGCCCAGGAGCUUUGGAGAGGCUGACCUACCACACAAGACCAGCGUCUCUCUCCCCCAACUCCCCUGCUCUCAGAAGCUGGCUCUCUGGACUUCACCUCCACCUUCUAUUUGCGGCCGUUGCUCCUGGACUCCAGGUAGG